This is a long non-coding RNA of Amphiprion ocellaris (clown anemonefish), 2648 nucleotides long. Lineage: Eukaryota; Metazoa; Chordata; Actinopteri; Pomacentridae. The record is from Ensembl.
GCUGAGCGCAGCAUAUGCAGUACGGCACUAUGCGCAGCGUGGCUCUGGCACUUGCACAGACAGCCCUGGGUCCUUCAGAGAGGCAGGCUGCUGUCUGUUGGCUGCUCUCAGCCAAGUGGGGACAAUUUGCACUUGGAGUCUUUCUCAGUCUCUGGGGAUACAAAGGCUGGCAUACAGGGAGGAGGAUUAAAUACGGGUGGUCGGGGGAAGGCUGAAUGUUGUUUUCAGGGAUGAGUUUAGUAAGCCCAGGUGAUGGACUGUUUGCUGAGCAAUGGUUCAGUGUUUGUAAGAACUGCAUGGCCACAAUAAGACAUGUAACACAAAGGAGGUCACCACAGAUUUCACAUUGGGGACCUGCAACAAUGAGAACGUUGCUGAUCUCUUUUGUCUCUUUGUAAGUACUACUCAGGUGGAAAAUACACUGCUAUGCAUUGAGUUUCAGUGUCAGUUUAUGGUAUGUCUAAUCAGCCUCCGUGUUACUUCUCUGUUUUUUCCCCCUUCUUGUUCACAAGAAUAUUUUACAUAAUAGUUCCCAGAAAGAUAAAAGCACGAACAGUUCCCUCAUUGUAAAGUGGCUGCGACCAACCUAUUUCUCUAUCUCCUAUUGAUCCGGUGAAUUGUUUGUUGGAGGGAAAGAAGCCACUUGGGAUUCAGUCUUAUUAGUCAGACUGUAUCGUUUUUGAAAGGAGAUGGGGAGGUGGGGGUGAGGUUGUAUGUUCUCUGACUUUCUUCUCCCAUCGCUCUCCCCCUCUCGGGACUCAGAGUCUACAUCUUUGCUGCCGACCGGCCUUUGAUCACAGAUCACACACCCUCAGCAGGGGAGUCGACAAGAGAGAAAGGAGGGAGAGGGGAUUGGAUUGGAGGUGUGGAGGAUGAGACAGUUUCAGUUUGCAGUCACCUAAACCAAUUUAGGAUACAUUCCAUAACUUCAUUCUGUGAUUCCCACUUUGGAGUUUUUGGCAGGUGUAAAGGAUGUGAGUCUGAGACAGCAGGAGGAAACGGUCAACAUUUUGCAGUUGUCUGUUUCGGUUCGUCUGUCUGUCUGUAGCCUCACUAUCUCACAGACAGACCGUUCCAAAAAAAAAAAGAAAAAUUUAAAAAAAAAAAAAAAAAAAAAAAAGCCCCCAGUUUAGCGCUAUCAAACUGCCUUUUUUCAGCUUCUGCGAUUGUAACAAAAAGCACUUUGCGAAAGGCCAUCCUGAAUUUUGUGUGCUUUUAUUUUAUGGUUAUCACUAUUGUUAUUAUUUUGUUGUCCCUGUCGAUGUCUCCUUUUUUGUUGUUUUUUGUUUUCUCAGUGCAGAUGAUUAUUUAAAUGCAAAAAAAUAUAUAUGAUGAAAAUGAAAAAAAAGCAAAAACUUGAAUAUUUGGUAUCUAGACUGAAGAUGGCUUGAGCUGCCACUUCGUCUGGAUGUAAACAAACGCAUCUCUGCUCUACUACCACCAUAGCUGUUAUGCAGCUUAUUGCAUAGUCACACAAUGGUGGUGGGGGGUUACAGGACAGACCUCCCCUCUACCUGCUCUCUGCUCACUGUCUCAGAUAUUGUUGGGAGAAAGGUCACUUGAUCUAAUUUCUGGAGACUCUUUUUCUUGGAAAAAGAAGCCUGUGUAACAGUUGCAAAGCUUUCUGAGAAGGCUAGCUGUGCUGAAUGUUAAACAUGCAGUGUUUAAUCUACUGCAGAAUCUCUUUGUCUGCAAUAACACCCUGUCUGUGUAGGUAAAAGGCCGGAUCUGGUAUCCAUAUAGAGCUGAAAUGAUUAUGAAAGACAAAUGGCCAAAAUGACCAUCAUCAUUUACAUUUGCAAUUCAGUACAGAAAACGUGUUUUGGCCUUAACACCUUUGUCAAAUCCAGAUUACUGCAGUAGAGCGGAAAGAAUAUUGAUCAUAAUAAGCAUUCAGUAAAUCUAUAGUUCAGUAAAUGGUUUAACUUGGGAGAGAAGGAAUAGGCUACUAUUUAUAGAUUGAGUUGUAACUGUGAUAAUUAUAACAGACAUUUCUUUUUGUUUUGUUUUGCUGAUGUACAUUUUAAAGCAGCAGAAUAAGGCCCUGUUCUCAAAUCUGGACGUUUUAAUUUAAUUUAAGUUUACACUGAGUUAUAUAAGGCAGAAAACUGUUGCACCAUGUUUCUGCGUGUGGCAGAACUUUUAAUAAUGUCACUCUGCUGACCACAGUCCACUCUGCGGAUCCCAACGGCAGAAUAACCUGCUCGAUGCUAUCACUAACCGGAUGGACUGUGGCCAAAAUAUGCAACAUAAUUGGAUGUUUUUACCAACAGAGUGCAACAGACAUAUUUUUCUCUGUGUAAUUCAGUGUGGUUUCACUUUAAAAUACCCCUUUCUUUUCACAAAAGUCUUUUUUUCUUUGCAUAGAAGUCCAUAUCUGUUGGAAGCUGCAGGGGAGGGGGGAAUAUAAGUGAUUUUUUUAGUUUUUUUGUUUUCAGAGAAUUUGCACUUUUUGGCGACAAAAAGAAAUUGUAUUGUAUAUGAGACCACUAAAUCCACACAGUCUAAACCGUAUAAUUCCAUUUUGUGUCUUUUUUUUGUUUGUUUUGUUCUGUUCUUCUUUUUUUUAAUAUAUCCAAAAAUGUCUGGCAUCUGGUUGUCUGGUUUAAAGAAUAUAAAUUCUUUCUAUUAAAAAGAAUGGUUGCAAA